GGUCUCGUAGCUCAGCUGGUAGAUCAUACGCGUACAAAGCGUAGGCGGCGUCCACGCGUGGGUUCAAAUCCCACUGAGGCUA
This 82-nucleotide transfer RNA is filed under the name Echinostoma caproni. It matches the Rfam family "tRNA". From Rfam's summary of the family: Transfer RNA (tRNA) molecules are approximately 80 nucleotides in length. Their secondary structure includes four short double-helical elements and three loops (D, anti-codon, and T loops). Lineage: Eukaryota; Metazoa; Platyhelminthes; Trematoda; Plagiorchiida; Echinostomatidae. The record is from Rfam by way of RNAcentral.